CUACGGGGUGCAGCAGUGGGGAAUUUUGGACAAUGGGCGCAAGCCUGAUCCAGCCAUGCCGCGUGAGUGAAGAAGGCCUUCGGGUUGUAAAGCUCUUUCAGGUGGGAAGAAACGGUUAAUGUUAAUAGCAUUGACUACUGACGGUACCACCAGAAGAAGCACCGGCUAAGUACGUGCCAGCAGCCGCGGUAAUACGUAGGGUGCGAGCGUUAAUCGGAAUUACUGGGCGUAAAGGGUGCGCAGGCGGUUUUGUAAGCCAGAUGUGAAAUCCCCGGGCUCAACCUGGGAACUGCAUUUGGGACUGGAAGGCUAGAGUAAGGCAGAGGGGGGUAGAAUUCCACGUGUAGCAGUGAAAUGCGUAGAUAUGUGGAGGAAUACCGAUGGCGAAGGCAGCCCCCUGGGUCGAUACUGACGCUCAGGCACGAAAGCGUGGGGAGCAAACAGGAUUAGAUACCCUCGUAGUC
This 464-nucleotide ribosomal RNA is filed under the name uncultured bacterium. RNAcentral describes it as "partial 16S ribosomal RNA". It matches the Rfam family "Bacterial small subunit ribosomal RNA", at positions 339 to 795 of the family's 1533-position model. The record is from RNAcentral.